RNAcentral lists this long non-coding RNA (2270 nucleotides) under Rattus norvegicus (Norway rat). Its description in RNAcentral is "long non-coding RNA NONRATT031800". Lineage: Eukaryota; Metazoa; Chordata; Mammalia; Rodentia; Muridae. The record is from RNAcentral.
UUUUUCUCUUUUCUCUCUCUCCUCCUUCUUCCCUUCUCUCCUCUUCCUCCUCCUCCUCCCCUCCUCUCCUCCUCCUCUUCCUCCUCCUCCUCCUUCACCACACAGGUCAGGAGAUACUCCUUAAAGCUUUGUCAUCAACAGUUGUUCAUUGUGUGUUGUCCUUAAGCUUCCAGGGCCUCCGCUGAAGUCUGGGAGGAAUCUUAGCUGGUAAAGUAUUGACUUUACCAGAUAUUUUCUUAGGUUUAACACUUCUCCAUAUUUUUAUUAAAAAUUCUGUUGCUGGGACCUGGAGAGAUAUAUCUGAGUGGUUAAGAACACUGGCUUGUCUUGCAGAGGACCUGGGUUCAGUUCCUAGCACAUGGUGGUUCACAAACAUCUUAAACUUGAGUUCCGGGUGUUGUGUUUUCUGGUGUCUGAAGCCAACACUUCAUACACAUGGCGAGGCAUGGAUGUACGAGCAGGCCAAGUACUCAUGGAUUUAAAAGAAAUCUUCAAAACAAUCCUAUAACCGGACAGACUGACGCUGAGUCCCACAAAAGGCCCCAAGGAAAACAACUUCACUGGGACCCUUCUGAACUUUGCUCUACGGGCUUUGAUCUCCAAAAUGUCGAGAUCUGAGUGUAGUAAGUGGGCCUUGGCUCCAAAAACCAGCCCAAGGAGGUUACCAUGGUUCUUUGUCAACAAACCACCUCAACACACUAUCAGUAUAAAUGGCUUUUGAUUAUCAUUCAAGAGGUGAGGUGGGUGACGUCAUCUACAGGGUGGCGAAGCCGUUGGCACUGGAGUGCUGUGUCAGCACAUCCUGAAAGCUUUGCCUUCAGGCUUUAAUACCAACUGAAACUCACUCUGAUUAAGCUGGCGCCAUUGCUCUACCAUUAUGUCUCUGAACCCUGCCAUGUUAGAGAUGACCCCACGCUCUAGUUCUGCCAGGUGUAGAGGCCUCUUUACGAGUGACUGGAGGAGAUCUCGUUCCCUGUCUGGCUAAUGCCACUUUAAGUGCACCCAGCCUGCCCUGUGACCUCCCCGGCUUGUCUACUUUAAUGGAUCUCUGGGCAGAAGCUAUAAAAGGAGGCUCUAUGCUUGGAGACUGCAUCUAAGAGAGUCGCAAGCAGACAUGAUUGAGAGGAGGCUUUUAGCUUCUACAGAAGGUCGUUCUUCGUAAAGUGGACCACUAAAGGCUUUCAAAAUAAACUACCUUGUAAAAUGACACAGGUUCAUAUAUCCUGACUUUUGGAGGGAUGACGGCCCAGUGUCAGUCGUGCAGUGUGGUGGGAAGCUAAAAGCCCAUUUAUCUAUCUAUCCAUCUAUCUAUCUAUCUAUCUAUCCAUCCAUCCAUCCAUCCAUCUAUCUAUCUAUCUAUCUAUCUAUCUAUCUAUCUAUCUAUCUAUCUAUCUAUCUAUUUAUUAUUCCAAACCAGAAAUGACAGAAAUGUCCCCAUACACUUUUCAAUUCUCUUCUCUGGCUUCUACGAAUGUCUUAACUGGGUCAGUAUUGUCGUUAACCAUCCUUUGGUUAGUGGACACUUACUAUUCUUGAAGGAUGCUGCUGGUAUCUGUUUGACACCUGGGACCCUUAGGUCAUGUGGUAGUUGAAUUUUGACUUUUUUUUGCCCCUUCAGGUUAUGGUAGUGUUCAUUUGCUGCGCCACUGACAACAUGAUAGAGGUCUCUUCUGCAUAGCCCCAUUUUUGCUUUUAGUUUGUUUGAGACAGGGUCUCACCAUAUGUCCUUGGCCAACCUGGAACUCACUCUGCAGACCAGGCUAACUUGAACCUCACAGAGCUCUACCAGCCUCUGCCUCCCAAAUGCUGGGAUGAAAGGGCUGUGCCAGCACACCUAGCUAGUUUUUCUUCAUUUGUUUUGAUUUCUUGAUUGUUUAUUUUUUUUACUUUAGGAAGACAACCAUUCUGGCAGGCAUAGAGAGACAUUUGUCACACUGUCAACGUGUAUUUCCCUGAUGAUUUUAGAUUGUUGAACAAAUGUUUCCCUCUAUCUUACAAUUAUAGCAUCUUAUUUCUCUCAUCGCCUCGUCCUUGAGAAACAGGUGAUGUUUCAAAGAUAAGUAAAACAAUUUUCACAGUGCACUGCUCUCCCCCAUUUUGGGAUCCCCUGUUCUGGGGGAUCAAACUCUUGCUUUGCCUCUUGUCGUCUCCAGCCUUGAGGUAAAGAAGCUUUCUAACGACUUUCUCCACUCCCCUCGAGACCACACUAGAAGCUAGCUUAGAAUAUGGAAGCCGAAGUUCUGGUCGACAAGCAAAAAUUUAUUCCUCUG